This 451-nucleotide ribosomal RNA is filed under the name uncultured bacterium. RNAcentral describes it as "partial 16S ribosomal RNA". It matches the Rfam family "Bacterial small subunit ribosomal RNA", at positions 28 to 507 of the family's 1533-position model. The record is from RNAcentral.
GAUGAAUGCUGGCGGCGUGCCUAACACAUGCAAGUCGAGCGGCAGCGCGGGGUGCUUGCACCCUGUCGGCGAGCGGCGAACGGCUGAGUAACGCGUAGGAAUUUGCCCCAAAGUGAGGAAUAACUGCCCGAAAGGGUAGCUAAUGCCGCAUAUGGUCUUCGGAUUAAAGGAUUUAUCCGCCUUGGGAGAAGCCUGCGUUGGAUUAGGUUGUUGGUAGGGUAAUGGCCUACCAAGCCGACGAUCCAUAGCUGGUCUGAGAGGAUGAUCAGCCAGACUGGAACUGAGACACGGUCCAGACUCCUACGGGAGGCAGCAGUGAGGAAUCUUCCACAAUGGGCGAAAGCCUGAUGGAGCAACGCCGCGUGAAGGAUGAAGGCCUUCGGGUUGUAAACUUCUUUUAUGAGUGAAGAAUAUGACGGUAACUCAUGAAUAAGCACCGGCUAACUACGUG